Long non-coding RNA from Drosophila erecta, 1434 nucleotides. RefSeq lists it as uncharacterized. The transcript has 2 exons. The record is from RefSeq and is a predicted model, not a curated record. Lineage: Eukaryota; Metazoa; Arthropoda; Insecta; Diptera; Drosophilidae.
CCCCAAUGGCAAUGCCAAGAAUAAGAAUCCACUCAUCUAUGUAGCCGGAUGUCAGUAUGUCUGCGCGUCUAUAUGUGUGUGAAUAUCUGUAUCUGGGAGCGUUGCAAGUAUCUUCGUAUCUUUGCGCUUUAUAGCUAUUGGUUUUUGGUCGUUUGUUGGCUGCCGCUUUCCGUUUUGAAACAAAAAUGAGUACAAGGGUUAUUUUUAGAACUAAAAUUUUCUUGAUUUUUACUCGUUAACAUUGCUUACGCUCCGUUCUGUAGUUGCUGUCUGUCCGUCUCCCCUUUUACCCUCCCCCUUGCCCUCGCUCAAAAUUUUCUCCGCUGGCGUCACGAUCGUGAAUGUAGCUAUAGCUAUAAUUUGUAUCUGUACGCCUGUAUGAGCACCCGUAUCGCUAUGCCUGUAUCUGUAUCUGAAUCCGAAUCUGUUUCUGAAUUCGAAUCGGUUUCUUUUUUUGGGUCCGGUGAUCUUCGGAGUGGACUUUUCAGCCCUGCAUCAAACAUAUAUGCACAUAUGUGGGAACAUGUGUGUACACUUGGAACAAAGUCAAAAGAUUCAAAAGGUUGGAAAAGGAAUGGGGGAUUUAAUUUAAUAUAGUUCCAUUUAUAUAAAACAAAGAACGUAACGAAUUUCAUGAUCGAAAACUUAAAAUAAUUAUAAAAAUGCAUUUAAGAGAUCGUAGUGUGGAUUUUCUCAGUCAGAAUCAACAAGUAUACACUGUUACUAACAUAUACUUUCUUUCAACUGAUUUCCCCAAUAGAACUGAUUUAAAAUUAUGGGAUGGAAAAAUAUGGUAUAGCACAUAAGAAACCAUUCGAGAAGCAAGAGAAAUGCUUUAUUCACAUCCUGUUCGAUUGAGGACGUGGCAGGUCGAUUUUGUUAAGUGUGUGCCAUGGACUGGCAGAUGUUCGGCUGAGUGAGUGCAUGUGGCCGAUUUACAUGGGCUCGGAUGUGAUGCUCUUACUUUACACACUGCCACAGCACCGGCGGCACCAAGAUCCCAAGAUCUCGAGAUCUCGAAAUCAGCGGGGAGCGUUUAACGAACGUUUUUCGCCAAUGACGGCCAGCGACGAGAGUACAUAAGAUUUAUAGUAGCUAUUUUUAAAGCGGCGUAUUAAGAACCGUAGGCCAGCGAGCAGAAACAGUCUACUACCACCGCGAUCCAUCCCAACCGAUGCGAUCGGCCAUAAGAAGUCAGGGGAGCUCCACGUACAUUCCCUUCGGGGUCUUUGGAUCGGGAUGGGUUGUUGAACUCAACACUUUUUGAGUGAAAACUGGAGCAAGCCAUACAAUGCUGUUUCAAAAUGGGCAGGUAUUGAGUGGCUUCAUAUAAUACCAUUGCAAUAUUACAGCAGUUUUAACAUAAAUACUAAAGAACACAUAGAUUAUCUGUAAAAUAAAGCGCAUUGAUGUGACAAUGAAAUAAUAACGAUG